Paramisgurnus dabryanus is the source of this 673-nucleotide non-coding RNA. The record is from RefSeq and is a predicted model, not a curated record. NCBI's taxonomy places the organism in Eukaryota, Metazoa, Chordata, Actinopteri, Cypriniformes, Cobitidae.
UUCAAGUGGCAGUGAUAUUGCGUUCUCUGGAGUUCCAUGGGUCCGGUCAGUACCCACCACCCUUCCCUGUUAACAUCACCCACAGUUUAUACUUUUUCUUAGAAAACCAACGGCUCUUAAGAGCCACUUCAAUAAUCAACUCGCUCACUCUCCUCAAAAAUGCCAGGCCAGGGGUCAACAACUAGAAAGUGUGUGGUCUGCCAUACACAACUAAAUGUAGCUUGCAAAACCUGCAACACAUGCAAGGUAGAGCAGCCACAUAAGCUCAGGGUAAAAAAGAACUGAAGAAAUUUGAUCAGAAGCGGGAGAGCUGGGUGCAUGAUGAAGAUAUGGAAGAUAUGCUGGCCUGGAAGAAAACCAAAUGCUUGGGGGUCUGAGGUUCUGACACCCCGUUGUCACUUGACUGAGACAUCCAUUACAUGCUUGGAAAGAUUAAAGAACCUAUUCAAGGCGGGAUCUCACAAGGUGUUGCAGAACAAGUCAAUAAAACCUCAUCAGCCCGAGUUGAAUCCCCAACUGGACCACAAAUGGCCCAACCUGAUCUCCAGGUACCAGUGGCCCUGCCUCAUACCAAAGCAGCUCCAACUGGACCACCAGCAGCCCUUAUUGGACCACCAAAGUCCCCAAUUUGACAGCCAGUAUCCCUUUUAGGACCCUCAGGACACCAUGCAAC